Molecule: ribosomal RNA, 322 nt
Filed under: uncultured bacterium
Lineage: Bacteria
Description: bacterial SSU rRNA
Rfam family: Bacterial small subunit ribosomal RNA
Source: RNAcentral
AACGAACGCUGGCGGCGUGCUUAACACAUGCAAGUCGAACGCGAACGGUUUCUUCGGAAACCUAGUAGAGUGGCGCACGGGUGAGUAACGCGUAAGUAAUCUACCCUCGCAUUUGGGAUAACCCACCGAAAGGUGUGCUAAUACCGAAUACGUCUAUUUUAAUAUCUUUUUUUAGAGAAAGGUGGCCUCUUCAUGAAAGCUACUGUGCGGGGAGGAGCUUGCGUACCAUUAGCUAGUUGGUAGGGUAAUGGCCUACCAAGGCAACGAUGGUUAGCGGGUCUGAGAGGAUGAUCCGCCACACUGGAACUGAAACACGGACCAG